ACCCGGUUAGCUCAGUCGGUAGAGCAUCAGACUUUUAACCUGAGGGUCAUGGGUUCAAGUCCUAUACUGGGCG
RNAcentral lists this transfer RNA (73 nucleotides) under Orbicella faveolata. Its description in RNAcentral is "tRNA-Lys". It matches the Rfam family "tRNA". From Rfam's summary of the family: Transfer RNA (tRNA) molecules are approximately 80 nucleotides in length. Their secondary structure includes four short double-helical elements and three loops (D, anti-codon, and T loops). Further hydrogen bonds mediate the characteristic L-shaped molecular structure. tRNAs have two regions of fundamental functional importance: the anti-codon, which is responsible for specific mRNA codon recognition, and the 3' end, to which the tRNAs corresponding amino acid is attached (by aminoacyl-tRNA synthetases). tRNAs cope with the degeneracy of the genetic code in two manners: having more than one tRNA (with a specific anti-codon) for a particular amino acid; and 'wobble' base-pairing, i.e. permitting non-standard base-pairing at the 3rd anti-codon position. Lineage: Eukaryota; Metazoa; Cnidaria; Anthozoa; Scleractinia; Merulinidae. The record is from RNAcentral.